AGAGUUUGAUCCUGGCUCAGGACGAACGUUGGCGGCGUGCUUAAUACAUGCAAGUCAACUGAAGCACCGGUAGUAAUACUGGUGUGGAGGUGGCGCACGGGUGAGUGACACGUAGGUAAUCUACCUUCAGGUCUGACAUAACCCCGAGAAAUCGGGGCUAAUAGCAGAUGAUGCAGCGGCUUGACAUCAAGACAGUUGUUAAAGCUUCGGCGCCUGAAGAUGAGCCUGCGUCUGAUUAGCUAGUUGGCGGAGUAACAGCCCACCAAGGCUACGAUCAGUAGCUGGUCUGAGAGGAUGAUCAGCCACACUGGAACUGAGACACGGUCCAGACUCCUACGGGAGGCAGCAGUAAGGAAUAUUGCUCAAUGGGAGAAAUCCUGAAGCAGCAACGCCGCGUGAAGGAUGAAGGGCUUUUGCUUGUAAACUUCUGUAGUGAGGGAAAAAACCUCCAUUCUAUGGAGUCUGAUGGUACCUCAAAAGUAAGCCCCGGCUAACUACGUGCCAGCAGCCGCGGUAAUACGAAGGGGGCUAGCGUUGUUCGGAAUUACUGGGCGUAAAGCGCGCGUAGGCGGUUUUGCAAGCCAGAGGUGAAAUGCCUGAGCUCAACUUAGGAAUUGCCUUUGGGACUGCGAGGCUUUGAGGACUGGAGAGGUGAGUGGAAUUCCCAGUGUAGAGGUGAAAUUCGUAGAUAUUGGGAAGAACACCAGUGGCGAAGGCGGCUCACUGGCCAGUUUCUGACGCUGCAGCGCGAAAGCGUGGGGAUCAAACAGGAUUAGAUACCCUGGUAGUCCACGCUGUAAACGAUGAGUGCUAGGCGUCGGCACGCUUGCGUGUCGGUGCCGCAGCUAACGCGUGAAGCACUCCGCCUGGGGAGUACGGUCGCAAGAUUAAAACUCAAAGGAAUUGACGGGGGCCCGCACAAGCGGUGGAGCAUGUGGUUUAAUUCGACGCAACGCGCAGAACCUUACCAGCCCUUGACAUGCCGUGCUAUCUCCAGAGAUGGGGAGUUCCAGCAAUGGACGCGGACACAGGUGCUGCAUGGCUGUCGUCAGCUCGUGUUGUGAGAUGUUGGGUUAAGUCCCGCAACGAGCGCAACCCUUGCCUUCAGUUGCCAUCAUUUAGUUGGGCACUCUGGAGGGACUGCCGGCGGUAAGCCGGAGGAAGGUGGGGAUGACGUCAAGUCCUCAUGGCCCUUACGGGCUGGGCUACACACGUGCUACAAUGGUGGCGACAGAGGGCGCAGGCGAGAGCGCAAGCUUUAGCAAAUCCUCAAAAGCCAUCUCAGUUCAGAUUGCGCUCUGCAACUCGGGCGCAUGAAGGUGGAAUCGCUAGUAAUCGCAGAACAGCAGGCUGCGGUGAAUACGUUCCCGGGCCUUGUACACACCGCCCGUCACACCAUGGGAGUUGGUUUGACCUGAAGACGGUGCGCUAACCCGCAAGGGAGGCAGCCGGCCACGGUCAGGUCAGCGACUGGGGUGAAGUCGUAACAAGGUAACC
Molecule: ribosomal RNA, 1497 nt
Filed under: uncultured bacterium
Lineage: Bacteria
Description: bacterial SSU rRNA
Rfam family: Bacterial small subunit ribosomal RNA
Source: RNAcentral